UAUUCCAGGAAGCCAUUUCAUCUGCCGCUGAACGUUCAGCAGAUCCACCAAAGAUCAGUGUGACUAUAAUAAAUAAGCAGUACAUUCGAGUCACUUGGAAGCGAGAGGGUCCAUGGAGCUCCGUAAGGGAUUUCACUAUCGAUUUCAGAGGCACUGGUGAAAGGCCUACUUCUAAAUAUUGUACUGGUUUGAUAAUACCAUGCAGCAGUGAUGUUUGUAGUUUUGACAGUAACGAACGCUGCCCAAGUUUUGGUGUAUGUCAUGACGUGGGAGUUGUUAUAAGAGGAAAUGCUACAAUCUCGUGAACGUAAAGUACGAACAGGUAAUACCAUAUGUCUCAAGACCAUUGUAUAGCAUCUCAAAACUUCAAACACUUGGAAACAUUUGAGCUUAGCUCAUGUUCACAAGUAUUUUGAGUUUUGAGCAUGUUGUGUUCCAUCGAACAUUAAAAGUCAUUAGAAAGCCAUGAACUAUUCUAAAGGCUUUUUUGUAGCAUCCCGAAACCCCUAAUACUGAUAUAUUGUUUCAAGUUGUAUCAAUGUUGGGAAAAAAAAUCACAUGAGAAAGCAACAGAAAAACAUUUAAGAGCUAAAUUUGCUCGUAUGGUUUCUA
Molecule: long non-coding RNA, 612 nt
Organism: Penaeus monodon (black tiger shrimp)
Lineage: Eukaryota; Metazoa; Arthropoda; Malacostraca; Decapoda; Penaeidae
Exons: 2
Source: RefSeq, a predicted model, not a curated record